GACGAACGCUGGCGGCGUGCUUAACACAUGCAAGUCGAACGGAAAGGCCCUGCUUUUGUGUGGUGCUCGAGUGGCGAACGGGUGAGUAACACGUGAGUAACCUGCCCUUGACUUUGGGAUAACUUCAGGAAACUGGGGCUAAUACCGGAUAGGAGCUCCUGCUGCAUGGUGGGGGUUGGAAAGUUUCGGCGGUUGGGGAUGGACUCGCGGCUUAUCCGCUUGUUGGGGGGGUAGUGGCUUACCAAGGCUUUGACGGGUAGCCGGCCUGAGAGGGUGACCGGCCACAUGGGGACUGAGAUACGGCCCAGACUCCUACGGGAGGCAGCAGUGGGGAAUAUUGCACAAUGGGCGGAAGCCUGAUGCAGCGACGCCGCGUGCGGGAUGACGGCCUUCGGGGUGUAAACCGCUUUCGCCUGUGACGAAGCGUGAGUGACGGUAAUGGGUAAGGAAGCACCGGCUAACUACGUG
RNAcentral lists this ribosomal RNA (468 nucleotides) under uncultured bacterium. RNAcentral's name for it is "partial 16S ribosomal RNA". It matches the Rfam family "Bacterial small subunit ribosomal RNA", at positions 28 to 507 of the family's 1533-position model. The record is from RNAcentral.